RNAcentral lists this transfer RNA (72 nucleotides) under Aquilonastra batheri. Its description in RNAcentral is "tRNA-Ala". Lineage: Eukaryota; Metazoa; Echinodermata; Asteroidea; Valvatida; Asterinidae. The record is from RNAcentral.
UAGUUUAAAUUAACUUAAACCCCUAAGUAGAUUUAGUUAAAAAGAAAGAACAUUUGACUUGCAAUCAAAAAG